This 460-nucleotide ribosomal RNA is filed under the name uncultured bacterium. RNAcentral's name for it is "partial 16S ribosomal RNA". It matches the Rfam family "Bacterial small subunit ribosomal RNA", at positions 338 to 795 of the family's 1533-position model. The record is from RNAcentral.
CCUACGGGUGGCAGCAGUGAGGAAUAUUGGUCAAUGGCCGUAAGGCUGAACCAGCCAAGUAGCGUGAGGGAAGACUGCCCUAGGGGUUGUAAACCUCUUUUAUGCGGGGAAAAAGGUGUCCACGUGUGGAUGUUUGCAGGUACCGCAUGAAUAAGGACAGGCUAAUUCCGUGCCAGCAGCCGCGGUAAUACGGAAGGUCCGGGCGUUAUCCGGGUUUAGUGGGUUUAAAGGGAGCGUAGGCCGGUCUUUAAGCGUGCCGUGAAAUUUUGGGGCUCAACCAUGAGAGUGCGGCGCGAACUGGGGACCUUGAGUGCGCGGAAGGCAGGCGGAAUUCGUGGUGUAGCGGUGAAAUGCUUAGAUAUCACGAAGAACCCCGAUUGCGAAGGCAGCCUGCCGCAGCGUUACUGACGCUGAAGCUCGAAAGCGCGGGGAUCGAACAGGAUUAGAUACCCGAGUAGUC